Molecule: long non-coding RNA, 641 nt
Organism: Pygocentrus nattereri (red-bellied piranha)
Lineage: Eukaryota; Metazoa; Chordata; Actinopteri; Characiformes; Serrasalmidae
Source: Ensembl
AUUAAUAAUAAAAGAAAAAUGGGAACAUGUAUAAGGUUUAGCGUUUCAAUAUUAAUAUAUAACAUUAAUAGUAUUUAAACUGAGUGCGGGUACUAAGACCGCCCACUGCGUAAAAUAUUAACCAAUUAACAGCUUACCUCAUAGGAUUCCCUGGGACCAGCCACUGCACCAAAUCUUAACAAAUUAGCAGUCAAGAUAGGCGGAGCUCUAAGCUUUCCUAUGCUAGGGGAUCUCAUUCUCCGGUUGGUGGCUGAACGUGCAGGAUAUCUCUCCAGCUAGGCGCUGAGAAACGGAGCUAAACACUAUAAAUUUGAGAGUUUGCGAUUGGGAGUGACCUCUGGAGGAGGUGCAGACGAUAGAGGAAAAUCAGCUGACCAGAGCGACACACGGAGUGAGGCUGCUGACGUCAGUGUGUGCAGCGUCUGCUCUCCUUUAAGGCCAGUGCGGCCUAUCCACAAAUUCUCUCCACUUGUAUUCUAAGACCAAGUGAUGUACUCAACUGUAGUCCACAGUAACAUGACCACUACACCCUGACUGACACUGGCGAUAACACUGAAUAUGCUACCGUCAAAAUCAAUUAUCCAUCCCACCCAAGGCAAAUGGAAAAAUGCAUUUCAUUUUCUGUGAAUUUUUUUCAGCAC